GCCCAGGUGGCGAAAUUGGUAGACGCAGGGGACUCAAAAUCCUCCGCCGCAAGGUGUGUCGGUUCGAGUCCGACCCUGGGCACCA
This 85-nucleotide transfer RNA is filed under the name Neisseria gonorrhoeae. RNAcentral's name for it is "tRNA-Leu". It matches the Rfam family "tRNA". Rfam says of the family: Transfer RNA (tRNA) molecules are approximately 80 nucleotides in length. Their secondary structure includes four short double-helical elements and three loops (D, anti-codon, and T loops). RNAcentral also lists the same sequence under 1 other name. The record is from RNAcentral. Lineage: Bacteria; Pseudomonadati; Pseudomonadota; Betaproteobacteria; Neisseriales; Neisseriaceae.